Molecule: ribosomal RNA, 465 nt
Filed under: uncultured bacterium
Lineage: Bacteria
Description: partial 16S ribosomal RNA
Rfam family: Bacterial small subunit ribosomal RNA
Source: RNAcentral
GACGAACGCUGGCGGCGUGCUUAACACAUGCAAGUCGAACGGAAAGGCCCUGCUUGCAGGGUACUCGAGUGGCGAACGGGUGAGUAACACGUGGGUGAUCUGCCCUGCACUUCGGGAUAAGCUUGGUAAACUGGGUCUAAUACCGGAUAGGAGCCAUCUUUAGUGUGGUGGUUGGAAAGUUUUUUCGGUGUAGGAUGAGCUCGCGGCCUAUCAGCUUGUUGGUGGGGUAAUGGCCUACCAAGGCGGCUACGGGUAGCCGGCCUGAGAGGGUGUACGGCCACAUUGGGACUGAGAUACGGCCCAGACUCCGACGGGAGGCAGCAGUGGGGAAUAUUGCACAAUGGGCGCAAGCCUGAUGCAGCGACGCCGCGUGGGGGAUGAAGGCCUUCGGGUUGUAAACUACUUUCGCUAGGGACGAAGCUUUUUGUGACGGUACCUAGAUAAGAAGCACCGGCUAACUACGUG